CCUACGGGAGGCAGCAGUGAGGAAUAUUGGUCAAUGGACGAGAGUCUGAACCAGCCAAGUAGCGUGAAGGAUGACUGCCCUCUGGGUUGUAAACUUCUUUUAUAUGGGAAUAAAAUGUUCCACGUGUGGGAUUUUGUAUGUACCAUAUGAAUAAGGAUCUGCUAACUCCGUGCCAGCAGCCGCGGUAAUACGGAGGAUCCGAGCGUUAUCCGGAUUUAUUGGGUUUAAAGGGAGCGUAGGUGGAUUGUUAAGUCAGUUGUGAAAGUUUGCGGCUCAACCGUAAAAUUGCAGUUGAAACUGGCAGUCUUGAGUACAGUAGAGGUGGGCGGAAUUCGUGGUGUAGCGGUGAAAUGCUUAGAUAUCACGAAGAACUCCGAUUGCGAAGGCAGUUCACUGGACUGCAACUGACACUGAGGCUCGAAAGUGUGGGUAUCAAACAGGAUUAGAUACCCCGGUAGUC
Molecule: ribosomal RNA, 460 nt
Filed under: uncultured bacterium
Lineage: Bacteria
Description: partial 16S ribosomal RNA
Rfam family: Bacterial small subunit ribosomal RNA
Source: RNAcentral